GCCUACGGCCAUACUAGUCUGAAAACGCCCGAUCUCUCGUCUGAUCUCGGAAGCUAAGCAGACUCAGGCCUGGUUAGUACUUGGAUGGGAGACCGCCUGGGAAUACCAGGUGCAGUAGGCU
Molecule: ribosomal RNA, 121 nt
Organism: Hemiscyllium ocellatum (epaulette shark)
Lineage: Eukaryota; Metazoa; Chordata; Chondrichthyes; Orectolobiformes; Hemiscylliidae
Source: RefSeq, a predicted model, not a curated record